UUGAAAGCGCUUCACUAGUGGAUCCUGCGUCCGGCACGGGCGCCUCAUCCACCCCCGUGCCGCACCCGACCCGCCCGGUUGUCCCCCCGGGCGGGUC
RNAcentral lists this small RNA (97 nucleotides) under Afipia sp. GAS231. RNAcentral's name for it is "Rhizobiales-2 RNA". It matches the Rfam family "Rhizobiales-2 RNA". The record is from Rfam by way of RNAcentral. Lineage: Bacteria; Pseudomonadati; Pseudomonadota; Alphaproteobacteria; Hyphomicrobiales; Nitrobacteraceae.